This 611-nucleotide ribosomal RNA is filed under the name Leptolycus albicauda. Its description in RNAcentral is "SSU rRNA". Lineage: Eukaryota; Metazoa; Arthropoda; Insecta; Coleoptera; Lycidae. The record is from RNAcentral.
UACCACAUCCAAGGAAGGCAGCAGGCGCGCAAAUUACCCACUCCCGGCACGGGGAGGUAGUGACGAAAAAUAACGAUACGGGACUCAUCCGAGGCCCCGUAAUCGGAAUGAGAACAAUUUAAAUCCUUUAACGAGGAUCAAUUGGAGGGCAAGUCUGGUGCCAGCAGCCGCGGUAAUUCCAGCUCCAAUAGCGUAUAUUAAAGUUGUUGCGGUUAAAAAGCUCGUAGUCGAAUCUGUGUCCCGCGCCGCCGGUUCGUCGCUCGCGGCGUUUAACUGGCGUGUCCGCGGGACGUCCUGCCGGUUAGUGGCGCAACCCUUUCGCGAGGGUACGCCCAAUUAUAAUCCCGCUGCGGUGCUCUUUACCGAGUGUCGCAAUGGGCCGGCACGUUUACUUUGAACAAAUUAGAGUGCUUAAAGCAGGCUAAAACUUUGCCUGAAUACUUCGUGCAUGGAAUAAUGGAAUAGGACCUCGGUUCUAUUUUGUUGGUUUUCGGAACCCCGAGGUAAUGAUUAAUAGGAACGGAUGGGGGCAUUCGUAUUGCGACGUUAGAGGUGAAAUUCUUGGAUCGUCGCAAGACGGACAGAAGCGAAAGCANUGSCCCNAAAAACGA